CUUUUUAACUUGAAAAAUUUUAAUUUGAAAAGAUUUCUACAACGAGAAAAAAAACAAAUCUAGAUUGAAAAGUAGAAUGCAAGUCUAGAUUUAACUUUUAUCUUAAGAAAUCUUCAGAUAAGAUUUUUAGGUUGAAAAACGAUGAUCUUCAUUCAAGAAUAAACAAUUUUUGGUUAAAUUUUGACAUCACAUAAUUUGACUUAUAAAUUCUCCAAAUUUUAACAUCUCCUUUUCGAAUUAGCUGCGCAAUUUCGCCCAUUUUUCCAUAGAAAGUGCAAUGGCUUUUAUCGCUCAAACUGAAAUUGGCCGAAAACAACACAAACACAAAAACAAACACAGAACGAAAGCGAGGCAAGUUCAGGGCCGAAUUCUAGGCAAAUAGAACGACCGCAGCAAUGUGGCAACUUUUAAUCAGCUGCGAGCAGCAAUUGCAUACCUUUUAACCAAUUAAAAGGGCGCAAGGAAAUAUGCAUUUUGUGGUUAGUUGGAAGUGAAAUGAAAAGAAAAGUUUAUACAGUGAAAAAAAACAUUCUAUAAUCAAGGAAACAAGCUGAAAUUAUAUCAACAUGAAACACCCAGAAUAAAUUAUAGUAUGAAAGCAAGACUAUACUUCUAGAAAAUUUCUAUACUGUGGAUUCUUGAAAUUUAAGAAUAUUUUCUCAA
Molecule: long non-coding RNA, 663 nt
Organism: Drosophila albomicans
Lineage: Eukaryota; Metazoa; Arthropoda; Insecta; Diptera; Drosophilidae
Exons: 3
Source: RefSeq, a predicted model, not a curated record